This 800-nucleotide ribosomal RNA is filed under the name Arthrobacter globiformis. RNAcentral's name for it is "bacterial SSU rRNA". It matches the Rfam family "Bacterial small subunit ribosomal RNA", at positions 689 to 1484 of the family's 1533-position model. Lineage: Bacteria; Bacillati; Actinomycetota; Actinomycetes; Micrococcales; Micrococcaceae. The record is from RNAcentral.
CGCAGAUAUCAGGAGGAACACCGAUGGCGAAGGCAGGUCUCUGGGCAUUAACUGACGCUGAGGAGCGAAAGCAUGGGGAGCGAACAGGAUUAGAUACCCUGGUAGUCCAUGCCGUAAACGUUGGGCACUAGGUGUGGGGGACAUUCCACGUUUUCCGCGCCGUAGCUAACGCAUUAAGUGCCCCGCCUGGGGAGUACGGCCGCAAGGCUAAAACUCAAAGGAAUUGACGGGGGCCCGCACAAGCGGCGGAGCAUGCGGAUUAAUUCGAUGCAACGCGAAGAACCUUACCAAGGCUUGACAUGGGCCGGACCGCCGCAGAAAUGUGGUUUCCCCUUUGGGGCCGGUUCACAGGUGGUGCAUGGUUGUCGUCAGCUCGUGUCGUGAGAUGUUGGGUUAAGUCCCGCAACGAGCGCAACCCUCGUUCUAUGUUGCCAGCGCGUGAUGGCGGGGACUCAUAGGAGACUGCCGGGGUCAACUCGGAGGAAGGUGGGGACGACGUCAAAUCAUCAUGCCCCUUAUGUCUUGGGCUUCACGCAUGCUACAAUGGCCGGUACAAAGGGUUGCGAUACUGUGAGGUGGAGCUAAUCCCAAAAAGCCGGUCUCAGUUCGGAUUGGGGUCUGCAACUCGACCCCAUGAAGUCGGAGUCGCUAGUAAUCGCAGAUCAGCAACGCUGCGGUGAAUACGUUCCCGGGCCUUGUACACACCGCCCGUCAAGUCACGAAAGUUGGUAACACCCGAAGCCGGUGGCCUAACCCCUUGUGGGAGGGAGCUGUCGAAGGUGGGACUGGCGAUGGACUAA